RNAcentral lists this ribosomal RNA (2690 nucleotides) under Triticum aestivum (bread wheat). RNAcentral describes it as "partial small subunit ribosomal RNA". The record is from RNAcentral. Lineage: Eukaryota; Viridiplantae; Streptophyta; Magnoliopsida; Poales; Poaceae.
CGAGCGAAGAGGGCUAGGGUUUCUCUCCCUAUCGAUUCACACCCGCAUUCGCGCCGCUCUCCCCACCCCUCUCCUCUCUCCUGCGAACGGAUCUCGCCGCCCCGUCGCCUCGUGGGCACUCGCCGGCGCGCAUCCUCUCCGCGCAGAGAUGGAUGACAACGGCAAGACCCGAGAUUCGCUGAUAGUGCAAGCUGCUGGUUUGGUUGCUGUUUUGUGUGCCUAUAUGGCCACAAUAACUACAAGGGCUAGAAUUACAUUCUAGUAUCAAUUAUGAUUCCCUCAAAAAAAAGUAUCAAUCAUGAUGACAUAAUUGGACACAAGAAAUUAUGUGCAAAGUUAUGUGUAUGUGUUAAUGUACGUGGCAGAUAGCACUGUCAUAAUCCACCUGAUAAUCCAUGAAUAUAAACCUUAAAUUCGUAAUGAGACUAACCAAAACAUGGGGAAUGGAGAAAAGGUACCUCAAAUCGGCUGGCCCCUGCAACUGCACACCGCCGGCCGCAGGGCAGGACUGCUGCCGAGUGCGGAAUGGGCGGCUGCCGGACGCCCAAAGGCAGGUGCACUAAGUCAAUGAAGCUGCGUCCAUAUAGUACUCGUGUAUACGACUAAUAUAUAGUGGAGUGGUUUUCUUAUUCUCUCCAUAACAAUCGUUUUAAAUUGUGUAAGUACGAAACGAAACUCCUUAUUUAACGUACCAGUGAAGAAAACUACUACUCCCUCUAUUCCUAAAUAUUUGUCUUUCUAGAGAUUUCAACAAGUGACUACAUACGGUGCAAAAUGAGUGAAUCUACACUUUAAAAUAUGUCUACAUACAUCCGCAUGUUGAGUCCAUUUGAAAUGCCUAGAAAGACAAGUAUUUGGGAACGGAGGGAGUAGAAUGCAAAUUUUCGCUGUGUCCAAUCAGGUGAAUUAUGAUUUAACACAGAAUUUGCUGUGUCCAAUCAGGUGGAUUAUGAUAGUGCUAUUGGUAAAUUAUAAUUAGUAUGUUAACAUGUCAUAUUUGCAAAUCCUAGAUCCGCCACUGAUCAGCGGCAAUGGCGAUCCGACACUACUGGUCGAUGGCUGUCGCGGCCGUCGGGUUCCGCCUCGUUCUGGUGCUCUUCGGCGGAGACCUCCACCUUGCCUCCCGCCCGGAGGUCUCCACCCCCCUCACGUCCCUCCGCCGCCUGGCAGAAGGAUACUGGCUGAAGCAAGCGUCCAUGUCACCCUAUUCCGGUUUGAUGUAUCAUGGUUCCCCUUUGCUUUUAUCAGUUCUUGGUCCGCUAACCAGCAAAAGGUCAGGUGGACACCAUUCUCAUAUAUAUUGCAGUUUGGUUUUUGUGGCUGUAGAUUUUAUAGCUGCUAUGCUCAUUCGAUCAACUGGGCGUUCACUCCAAAUGGCACGUAACAGAAGUUUGAAGUCUCUUGACCUCACAAAAUCAGUGAACAAUUCUGUGAACGUAAGCACAGGAGAUACUGCUUCUCUAAUAUAUCUGUGGAACCCUUGGACAAUAAUCACCUGUGUGGGUUCAUGUACAUCACCAAUUGAGAAUUUAAUGGUCGUGAUAAUGUUACAUGGAGCCUGUUCACGUCUUGCGCCGCUUGCUGCCUUUGGAUAUGUCAUGGCAACACACCUUUCUCUUUAUCCUGCAAUUCUCAUUCUACCUGUUGCUCUUUUAUUGGGUUAUGGUCCAGAUACUCCGCCAACCAAAGUAUUUCUUCAGAAAGGCUUGAGUGCCAGUAAAAUUGACAUGUUAGAUAAUGGAAAAGGUACUAACCAAAAAGGUUUUGGACAAUUCUCAUGGAAACCAAUACUCCACUUCAUAUUGUGGGUGUUUAUCUGGUCAUGUUAUGUGCUGUUAUUGAACAGCAUUAUUCUGAAUAAAGUGGGUGGCCUUCAGGAGAUGUUUGAAAAGACAUAUGGCUUUAUCCUUACAGUGAAGGAUUUAUCACCAAAUAUUGGUGUGUUAUGGUAUUUCUUUGCCGAAGUCUUCGACUUCUUCAGAAGCUUCUUUCUUAUAGUCUUUAAUAUGAACAUCAUUUUUAUGGUCUUGCCAUUGGCUAUCCGUUUGAAGCAUCGACCGUUCUUCCUUGCCUUUGUUUACACAGCAAUUGUCGCAAUGCUGAAAUCUUAUCCCUCGGCUGGAGAUUCAGCUCUAUAUCUAGGACUUCUAGGCCUAUUCGCCAAUGAAUUAGCGGAGAUGCAAUUCACGUUCUUCUUGUUUUUUGGAUAUAUUGGAGUCUCUCUCCUUAGCCCUGUCAUGCAUAACCUAUGGAUCUGGAGGGGUACUGGUAACGCAAAUUUCUACUUUGCGACUGGUUUAGCUUAUACCUGCCUUCAGACCGUGUUGGUCGUAGAGACUGUAAGUUCAAUGAUAAAGCAUGACAGGAAACUAAGGCUACUUACAAAAGCCUAACAUCAUUCCUCAGAAGGUCAGCACGUCAGAUUCUUUCCUUGCUGGUUCCCUAUGAUGCGAACUUGCGACCAGUUUGUCGUUCUGGGAUUCUGGGUAGAUGUAGUGGAUGAUGUUUCAUGUCAUGUUGUAUUUUACCUCCCACAUUUGUACAAUAUGGAUCAGAUUGCUUAAUCAGGAUUAGAGAAAGACUAUAUAGGUUUCUCCCUCGAAGCUAACUAUAGUCGGUACUGAAUUUCUCCGUGGAUGCCUUGAUUACUGCCUUCUCUGAUGUUGGUGAAAUUAAUCCCUGGUAGUCUU